Molecule: long non-coding RNA, 1868 nt
Organism: Columba livia (rock pigeon)
Lineage: Eukaryota; Metazoa; Chordata; Aves; Columbiformes; Columbidae
Exons: 2
Source: RefSeq, a predicted model, not a curated record
CCGGCGCUGGGCGAGGCCUGUCCCUGGCGUGAGGCAGCGGGGGCGGCUGAGGGGGCUCCGAUCUUUCCCGAACGUUUCCGAACUUCCCCGAUCUUCUCCGUCCUUCUCUUGUGCUUGCGGCGAUGGGAGGUGGCAGCGGUGACGGAGACAGAAGGGUAUUAAUGCCAUUAAUUAACAUGCAGACGCACGGUGUUUAAUUUCAAGUUGUGAGAGGAAUGUUUCUCUGCAGGUUCUUUCCCCAAGGGGGGAAGACACUUUUCACCACAGCUGCCAAGAGCCCCCUGGUUUCUUCUGUGCCCCCAAGCUGCAGAGCUGUUUAUAUCACCGUUCAUGCGCUCAAAAAAUGUGUUUUAUUCAGCAGGGUGUGCCAUUUGAUGCAAAAAUUACUGUCUAACUCUUCACUCUGAGCAGAGAAACUCCAUCAGCAUCACCGGCGCUGCAGCGGGAGGGUUGCGCAGGUACCAGCAGAGAGGAGCGUAAGCAAUAUUGAUAACGCCGAUGAUGAUCAUCAGCCAGGGGAACCCAACAGCUCGUACGAUCGCGCCGCCUGUGGACGGACCUGGUGAUUUAAAGGUUAAAAAGAGCUGAGACGACAGAGCAAAUGUCCCGCUUUGGGGGGGUCUGUAAAUCCACGGUGGGUGAGUUGCAGACUCAGCGCUGGCUGCUUCCAGCAGAUAGUGGGUGGAGGAGAGGGAGUAGUAAACCGAGAUACACGCUGUGUACGUCACCCCGUGAGUAAGUUCCUCGUACCGAUGGCGAAGCCCAUGCAGAAGGCGACGUCAGCGAUGGCGUAGACGUUGCCGUAGAUGGAGGAGUGGCGCAGGUCCACCAGGUGACCCAUGGUGGGCAUCAUGGAGGAGUCCACCAUCCCUGCCCAAAGCCAGAGGGAUGCGCUGGCUCACCGCGGGGCUGCGUGGGAACCGUGUCGCACAGCCCAGACACCGACUCCUUACCUAUGGCAAAGCCCAGCCCGGCGUUGGGGAUGAUCAGCCCGUAAAUAUUUGUGGCCAGAGGAACCUUUGAGAGGAGAGAGAGGGGAUGUGAGUGAGGGCGGAAGAACUGCAUGAAGGUGGAACAUCAACCCAUGAAACCAACACGUGUCCAACCACUGACCAUUUGACCGCUGGGCACAAAACCCCGUCUCCGUCCUGACCUCUACAGAAAGGUCUCAAAAUUGUCUUGUGCUACUUACACACAGGAGACUGAUUCCCACCACGCCCAUGCCGAUGAGGGAGCACAACCACCUGCAAGGAGCCCACAGGUAGCAGAGGGUGGCUGUUCUCAGCCCCAGGUGUGAUUCAUGUGGAAAGCGCAGGGCUGGGGUGACCUGAAAUCUCUGCCUUCCACUUACCGGCCCAUUCUGGUGGCCAGAAGCCCGAAGAGGUUGGUGCCGAUGAGGUAGGAUAUGCUGGCCGGGAGGAAUGCCAUCCCUGAGGGAGAGAGAGCACAAAAAAGCCUGUCAUCCCUAGGAAAAUACAGGGGAUUUGCAAAAAUGUUCACUAACUGCCCCCAUUUGGGGAAUAUCAUGAGCCAGGCCUGUCCGUGCCCUGUAGAAGGGUGGGGGUCCCUCUCUGAAGACAUAGGGAGGCACAGAAAUUGCUUUUGGAGGGGGGAAACUGAGGCACAGAGAGGUGCAGUGAUUGACCCACAAGCCCUAGGAGACAACCAGAAGCUCAAUGCAGAACUUUUUUGUCCCCACUGCUUUAACAACCUCAUCCUGCUCUCCUGUUGUAGUUUCUUCUUCUUCCACCUUUCUCCCCUUGCCGUCUGCUUUUCACUUACUAAAUAGGAAUAAAAUAACUACUGAAGUAAAAAGCUUAGGGAUCAUUAUGUAGUCCAAAUUAAAUAUUUGCACUGUUUGCUGAUCA